RNAcentral lists this ribosomal RNA (445 nucleotides) under uncultured bacterium. RNAcentral's name for it is "partial 16S ribosomal RNA". It matches the Rfam family "Bacterial small subunit ribosomal RNA", at positions 330 to 792 of the family's 1533-position model. The record is from RNAcentral.
GCCAGACUCCUACGGGAGGCAGCAGUGGGGGAUAUUGCACAAUGGGGGGAACCCUGAUGCAGCGACGCCGCGUGGGUGAAGAAGCGCCUCGGCGCGUAAAGCCCUGUCAGCAGGGAAGAAAAUGACGGUACCUGAAGAAGAAGCCCCGGCUAACUACGUGCCAGCAGCCGCGGUAAUACGUAGGGGGCAAGCGUUAUCCGGAUUUACUGGGUGUAAAGGGAGCGCAGGCGGCACGGCAAGUCUGGUGUGAAAACCCGGGGCUCAACCCCGGGACUGCAUUGGAAGCUGCCGGGCUGGAGUGUCGGAGGGGUAAGCGGAAUUCCUAGUGUAGCGGUGAAAUGCGUAGAUAUUAGGAGGAACACCAGUGGCGAAGGCGGCUUACUGGACGAUGACUGACGCUGAGGCUCGAAAGCGUGGGGAGCAAACAGGAUUAGAUACCCCAGUA